RNAcentral lists this ribosomal RNA (792 nucleotides) under uncultured bacterium. RNAcentral describes it as "bacterial SSU rRNA". It matches the Rfam family "Bacterial small subunit ribosomal RNA", at positions 8 to 796 of the family's 1533-position model. The record is from RNAcentral.
AGAGUUUGAUCAUGGCUCAGGAUGAACGCUAGCGGGAGUAACACAUGCAAGUCGAGGGGCAGCACGAGGUAGCAAUACUUUGGUGGCGACCGGCGCACGGGUGAGUAACGCGUAUGUAACCUACCCUGUACAGGGGGAUAGCCCGGAGAAAUUCGGAUUAAUACUCCAUAAUGAUAAAUCAAGGCAUCUUGAUAUAUUUAAAGUUUCGACGGUACAGGAUGGGCAUGCGUAACAUUAGCUAGUUGGUAAGGUAACGGCUUACCAAGGCUACGAUGUUUAGGGGUCCUGAGAGGGUGAUCCCCCACACUGGUACUGAGACACGGACCAGACUCCUACGGGAGGCAGCAGUGAGGAAUAUUGGUCAAUGGGCGUAAGCCUGAACCAGCCAUCCCGCGUGCAGGAAGACGGCGCUAUGCGUUGUAAACUGCUUUUCCAGGGGAAGAAAACCCGCUACGUGUAGCGGCUUGCCGGUACCCUGGGAAUAAGCAUCGGCUAACUCCGUGCCAGCAGCCGCGGUAAUACGGAGGAUGCAAGCGUUAUCCGGAUUUAUUGGGUUUAAAGGGUGCGUAGGCGAAUUAAUAAGUCAGUGGUGAAACCCUGCAGCUUAACUGUAGACUUGCCAUUGAUACUGUUAGUCUUGAGUAUGGUCAAGGUAGGCGGAAUGUGUAAUGUAGCGGUGAAAUGCUUAGAUAUUACACAGAACACCGAUUGCGAAGGCAGCUUACUGGUCCAUUACUGACGCUGAUGCACGAAAGCGUGGGGAGCGAACAGGAUUAGAUACCCUAGUAGUCC